This 488-nucleotide ribosomal RNA is filed under the name uncultured bacterium. RNAcentral's name for it is "bacterial SSU rRNA". It matches the Rfam family "Bacterial small subunit ribosomal RNA", at positions 8 to 518 of the family's 1533-position model. The record is from RNAcentral.
AGAGUUUGAUCCUGGCUUAGGACGAACGCUGGCGGUGUGCCUCAUACAUGCAAGUCGAACGAGAAAUUACUUCGGGUAAUGGAAAGUGGCGGACGGGUGAGUAAUAUGUAGGAAAUCUGCCCUAGAGAGGGGGACAACAGAGGGAAACUUCUGCUAAUACCCCAUAUGAGCUUAGUUGAAAUACUAAUCUUGAAAACUCCGGUGCUCUAGGAUGAGCCUGCAUCUGAUUAGCUAGUUGGUGGUGUAAUGGACCACAAAGGCGACGAUCAGUAGCUGGUUUGAGAGGAUGAUCAGCCACAAUGGGACUGAGACACGGCCCAUACUCCUACGGGAGGCAGCAGUAGGGAAUUUUGCGCAAUGGGGGAAACCCUGACGCAGCAACACCGCGUGAAUGUUAAGCCCUUCGGGGUAUAAAGUUCUGUCAAUGGGGAAGAAUAAAUGACUGUACCCAUAAAGGAAGCACCGGCUAACUCCGUGCCAGCCGCCGC